CCGUUGUUCUCUCCGGGCUGCAGGGACACGGAGCAGCAAUGCUGUAAGCAGCUCUAAGCCAGGGAGCUGUGAAAGGAUGAAACUGACGGGCUGAAGAGAUGAUUAGAUGGUGUCGCUCCACUGAAGUUAUCAGAGCUAUGGCAAAUCACACCAGCUGAGGAGCUGGCUUUUUCACUCUAUUACCUGCUUUUUCUGGAACACUGCAUGGUCAACAACGGCACCCACCAAUUCCUUAUGGGCCACAAGAACUUCAUAAUAUUGUGUGUAAAAGUGAUCUUGCUACUAACACCCAAUAAAACAAUUCUUCUC
Molecule: long non-coding RNA, 309 nt
Organism: Chrysemys picta bellii (western painted turtle)
Lineage: Eukaryota; Metazoa; Chordata; Testudines; Emydidae
Source: RefSeq, a predicted model, not a curated record